UAGGGAAUCUUCCACAAUGGACGCAAGUCUGAUGGAGCAACGCCGCGUGAGUGAAGAAGGUUUUCGGAUCGUAAAGCUCUGUUGUUGGUGAAGAAGGAUAGAGGUAGUAACUGGCCUUUACUUGACGGUAAUCAACCAGAAAGUCACGGCUAACUACGUGCCAG
RNAcentral lists this ribosomal RNA (164 nucleotides) under uncultured bacterium. RNAcentral describes it as "partial 16S rRNA". It matches the Rfam family "Bacterial small subunit ribosomal RNA", at positions 355 to 511 of the family's 1533-position model. The record is from RNAcentral.